Molecule: ribosomal RNA, 394 nt
Filed under: uncultured bacterium
Lineage: Bacteria
Description: partial 16S ribosomal RNA
Rfam family: Bacterial small subunit ribosomal RNA
Source: RNAcentral
AUACGUAGGGGGCGAGCGUUGUCCGGAAUUACUGGGUGUAAAGGGAGCGUAGGCGGGAGUGCAAGUCAGAUGUGAAAUACAUGGGCUCAACCCAUGGGCUGCAUUUGAAACUGCAUUUCUUGAGUGAAGUAGCGGUAAGCGGAAUUCCUGGUGUAGCGGUGAAAUGCGUAGAUAUCAGGAGGAACACCGGUGGCGAAGGCUGCUUACUGGGCUUUGACUGACGCUGAGGCUCGAAAGCGUGGGGAGCAAACAGGAGUAGAUACCCUGGUAGUCCACGCUGUAAGCGAUGAUUACUAGGUGUGGGGGUACUGACCCCUUCCGUGCCGCAGUUAACACAAUAAGUAAUCCACCUGGGGAGUACGUCCGCAAGGUUGAAACUCAAAUGAAUGGACGG